CUGGCGGCGUGCCUAAUACAUGCAAGUCGAACGGUCUUUCUAUGGAAGCUUGCUUCCACUGAGAAGAUAGUGGCGAACGGGUGAGUAACACGUGGGUAACCUGCCCAUAAGAGGGGGAUAACAUCCGGAAACGGGUGCUAAUACCGCAUAGUUUUCUUGAUCGCAUGAUUGAGAAAGGAAAGACGGCCUUUGUGCUGUCGCUUAUGGAUGGACCCGCGGCGUAUUAGUUAGUUGGUGAGGUAAUGGCUCACCAAGACGAUGAUACGUAGCCGACCUGAGAGGGUGAUCGGCCACAUUGGGACUGAGACACGGCCCAAACUCCUACGGGAGGCAGCAGUAGGGAAUCUUCCGCAAUGGACGAAAGUCUGACGGAGCAACGCCGCGUGAGUGAAGAAGGUUUUCGGAUCGUAAAACUCCGUUGUCAGAGAAGAACAAGUUGGAGAGUAACUGCUCCAGCCUUGACGGUAUCUGACCAGAAAGCCACGGCUAACUACGUGCCAGCCGCCGC
RNAcentral lists this ribosomal RNA (508 nucleotides) under uncultured bacterium. RNAcentral describes it as "bacterial SSU rRNA". It matches the Rfam family "Bacterial small subunit ribosomal RNA", at positions 36 to 518 of the family's 1533-position model. The record is from RNAcentral.